GUAGGGGAUCUUCGGACCUUACGUUAUAAGAGCGGCCGAUAUCUGAUUAGCUAGUUGGUGGGGUAAUGGCCUACCAAGGCGACGAUCAGUAGCUGGUCUGAGAGGACGACCAGCCACACUGGAACUGAGACACGGUCCAGACUCCUACGGGAGGCAGCAGUGGGGAAUUUUGGACAAUGGGCGCAAGCCUGAUCCAGCCAUUCCGCGUGAGUGAAGAAGGCCUUCGGGUUGUAAAGCUCUUUCGCAAGGGAAGAAAACUUACAUUCUAAUAAAGUGUGAGGCUGACGGUACCUUGAUAAGAAGCACCGGCUAACUACGUGCCAGCAGCCGCGGUAAUACGUAGGGUGCGAGCGUUAAUCGGAAUUACUGGGCGUAAAGCGUGCGCAGGCGGUUUUGUAAGUCAGAUGUGAAAUCCCCGAGCUCAACUUGGGAACUGCGUUUGAAACUACAAGACUAGAAUAUGUCAGAGGGGGGUAGAAUUCCACGUGUAGCAGUGAAAUGCGUAGAGAUGUGGAGGAAUACCAAUGGCGAAGGCAGCCCCCUGGGAUAAUAUUGACGCUCAUGCACGAAAGCGUGGGGAGCAAACAGGAUUAGAUACCCUGGUAGUCCACGCCCUAAACGAUGUCUACUAGUUGUUGGUGGAGUAAAAUCCAUGAGUAACGCAGCUAACGCGUGAAGUAGACCGC
This 686-nucleotide ribosomal RNA is filed under the name uncultured beta proteobacterium. RNAcentral describes it as "bacterial SSU rRNA". It matches the Rfam family "Bacterial small subunit ribosomal RNA", at positions 202 to 872 of the family's 1533-position model. Lineage: Bacteria; Pseudomonadati; Pseudomonadota; Betaproteobacteria. The record is from RNAcentral.